This 75-nucleotide transfer RNA is filed under the name Acetobacter pasteurianus IFO 3283-01. RNAcentral's name for it is "tRNA-Gln". It matches the Rfam family "tRNA". From Rfam's summary of the family: Transfer RNA (tRNA) molecules are approximately 80 nucleotides in length. Their secondary structure includes four short double-helical elements and three loops (D, anti-codon, and T loops). The record is from RNAcentral. Lineage: Bacteria; Pseudomonadati; Pseudomonadota; Alphaproteobacteria; Acetobacterales; Acetobacteraceae. RNAcentral also lists the same sequence under 1 other name.
UGCUGAUGGGGCGUAGCCAAGCGGUAAGGCAGCGGAUUUUGAUUCCGCCAUGCGGAGGUUCGAAUCCUCCCGCCC